RNAcentral lists this long non-coding RNA (4012 nucleotides) under Solanum lycopersicum (tomato). RNAcentral describes it as "long non-coding RNA (SLYC_LNC000220)". The record is from RNAcentral. Lineage: Eukaryota; Viridiplantae; Streptophyta; Magnoliopsida; Solanales; Solanaceae.
UCAAAAAAUAUUUUUCAUUCAAAAAUCAAACACUUAAACAUUUUUCCGGAAAAUAUUUUCUAGUCACCAACAAAACAUGAGAAAAUAAGUCAAAUAUCUACUUGUUUAUCAUGAAAUAUAUUUUCAUUCAUACCAAACACACGCUAAGAAUUUUAUGUGAAAAUUCUAUUUUAAUAAGGAAAAUACCAUAGGCAGGAGAGAGGCACCUGAUGUUACUAUGCUAAAAUAUUUUGUGCAGUGACAAGUACAAUACUCAAAAUGUUCAUAGCAUACUCAAAAUAAAUAAUUUCUUUUUAAUUUUCAUCUUUUAAAAUGUCGCUUACACUCUAAUUUUUCGCAAUCGAUAAAAUACUCACCACUCUCUCUCUAUAUAUCCUUUCUCAAUGAUGUGUUUUGAAUGAGGAGCUGAAGAGCUCCUUUGUACAUUGCAAUAUGCUACGAAGACUUUCUUCCCUUAAUUCUGGUCCGGACCCCACAAAUCGUUCCCUCUAGUCAUAUGCAUCCCAAGAAGGUUAUUUUUGUCUUUUCAAAUAGAGCCUCCUGCGCCAACAAGUUCUUUGCAUAACUUAAUCUUGUCUUUCGGUAUUACUUUGAUUAACAUAUCAAUAAGAUGUUUACUUAUGCGAAAUUAUUUUAAAUAAAAUAAUUCACUCUCCAUUUUGUUCACAAAUUUUAUGAUAUCUCACGUUGAUGUAUAUUGUCCUUGCAUAGCACAUCAAAUUCUUUCUUAAGUUUAUUGCACUCUUAUAAUCACAAUAAACAACAUACUCCAUCUAUCACAAUCUAAGUUCGUGAAGGUAUAUCUCGAGUCAUAUCAUUUUUUUGCCAGCUUAAGUAGUUGCAAUAUACUCAACCCAUCUUCUUUGAUUAUGGUGAUAUAGCCCUUGAAAGAGUAAAUAGGUAUCAAUAGCCGUUUAAGAUUGAAUUUGAUCCUAAAAAACACAAGCAUUCAUCUAAGCUUUCUCUCAAAUAUGGAAGUAUCCACUUAACCGUUUAUCAAUGCUCUUUAUUAGGAUUGUCAUUAGACGUUUUAACAACACAAAUUACCUGAGCAAUAUCAGCUAGUAUAAACCAUUACAUACACUAAAAAUUAAAUGAAUAGAAGCAUACACAACAAUAUUUUUGCUUUGGGGUCAUUCCUCCUCGAAUGCUGGUCAACCUUAUUUGAACACUGAGAAAGGAGCUAACUCUUACUAUAUGCCUGAACUUACCUUCUAACAUAGAUGAAGUUGGUUCAUACUAUUAAUUUGAAACUCACUACAACACACAAGGCAUUAACGUUCACAAUAGGUUACAAGGUGAAAUGGUGUUUUGCAUAAUCACUAUAGGAAGAAAGCUACUACAUCAAAUGUUUUCAUUACAUUCUUUGAAAAAAAGUCAUGGUACGAUAUAUGUGAGACAUCAUAGUAUGAAAAAGUAAUAGGGCAUAGGUAUCUUUGUAAGAUGAUGUCGCGCCCCUAUUUUUCAUUAAGAACGAGUUUUGUGCACGACCUAACAACUCUUUUGAGAUUUUGAGUUUGGAGUCGCCACCUAACGAAUUGAGGCGUGUUAGGGCACCUAUCUAACUUAACUAAGUCUAGCUAAGGUAAACGACCCAGAGAUCAGGGUAAGAGUUCAAAUUACCUCAAGGGGAAGGUGUUAGGCAUCCCUCAAGGUACACAAAUAUUGGUAACGACUGUAUCUCAUGCAAUCUAUGUGGGGGUUACAAGUAGCAAUCAAGGUAACUUCAUUAUUAUUUAUUGAUAUGCUUGCUAAGUGAUGACAUAAUAUUAAUCAAUUAAUUUUUUUAGUUAAUUUAAACGUAGAAGACUAGGUGAUAACAAUAAAUAAAAAAUUAAACUCAUUUUUAUUCAAUUUAGCAUACGAGAUAUACGAGCAAGUAAUAACACAUAAAAUAUGAUAGCAAGAAUAACACUUAUCACAUGGUACAUAUAUAAAGCUAACAAUGCAAAAAUUAAACUAAUAGAAGGUACUAACCGGUUAUGCAAAAUUAUAUGUCCGCAAUGAAGGAUUUUAGUAAGGUUUUCAAUUCACAACAAUAAUACAACAAGAAAGAAUGAUCCAAAGCCUAACUAGAGUUGUUAUUUCUUUUCAAGAAUAGAGAGCAAUAUCUAAAGUAUGAACAAGGUGGGAGAUGAGAGUAUAGAGUAAUGAGAGAAUUUGUAUUAAAAAGUGAAUAUCAAUAUGUGAGAGUGUGAAAUAAUGAAGGAAGGAGUCUUAUUUAUAUAGUAAAAAAGGGGAGAACACAUAAGGAAAAGAAUAUUUUGAGGAAUUAAAUAAAUAUACUAUUUUCCUUACUCAAAAGGAGAUUCAAAUCAACCAAAUAAAAAAAUACCACCUCCAAAUAUAAGCAGGUAGGAAUAAAUUAGAAAGAGAAAUAUUAUUUUCCCCUUAAAUAAAGAAGAGUCAAAUCAUAUAUUUUAUCACUUUUUAUUUUAUGUAUUUAUUUUACCAAGUGUAAGGUUAUUUUUUACCAAAUAAGAGCAAGCAAGAGUUGGGCUGCCAUAAUUAAACACUAUUAGCCACAAGGAAAUAAAAUAAUUAUAUCUUUUAAAAAGGAAAAGGGAAACAAUUUAUAUACUAUCAAUCAAUAUUAUAAUUAACAAAUAGGAAAAUAUAAGGAAAGAAGUAGCACACUCUUCCAUUAGUUAAUCAAACUAACCAUAACCAAGAGGGUCCAAUAAAUUAAACUAAAUUAAUUAUGGGUAAGUAAAGAAAAUACGCAUAAAUCUAAAUCAAAGCAAAAGCGCAAUUUGACCAAGCAAUUAGCUAAAUUAUUAUAUUUAUGGGAUCCUGAUAGAUAUGGAGGAACAAUUAUCAAGCCGAAUUAACAAUGUAAAAAUGUCAAGAAAGAAUAAAAAAUUUUUAUCAUAAACAUGAAGUAGUAAAAAUUGACCAAUUUUCCUUAAAGCAUGAAGCAAAAAUAGACCAACUUUUGUGAAUAUCAAUCAGAUUUCUAUCCCUGCAUAGUUAGAAAAUAUCGGUCACGACAAACAGUCACGCCUAAAUUACAUUUAAUUUACAGAAAAGUUGUUUGAAUUUAUCAAUUAUGGGUCAAUGAUUUAGUGCAUCACAUUUCUACAGAUAAAGACAAAUCAUAGAAAACAUUUGAAGUUCUAAAGAAUAUUUUAGACCAAUUCCAUUACAAUUGAUAGGAUAAAACACAUAUAUUGGUUCUUUUUUUUUUCAUAGGACAUCCAUGAACGUCAAAGUAAUGCUAAGAAUUUAAAUAAUCAGACGAAAGAGGGAGCAAACCUGAACGGAACUGUAACAGACCAGUUUUAAAUAACUUCGAAAUCUUAUAGAGGAGGCUCCGUCGGAGCUCGUUGUUUUUUUGCUGGUGGUGUUUCUGUCUCUCUCGUAGGCUGCUGCUGUAUCACUGCUACAGUUGCUGGCACCUGCAAAAAAAAAAGAGAAAGGAGAAGUGGAAGGGGAAGAGAAGAGACGGGAGGGGAGAGAGGAGGGAAAGAGGGGGAGUUUAGAAGAGGGAAGCAGAGAGAGGAGAAGAACGGAGGGAUAAAGACGGGAAGAAGAGGGAAACGAGAGGGAGAAGAGGAGAGAAGGAGGGGGUCACCGAGGAGAGCGAAGGGAGGAGCGACGGCUGCUCAAGAGAGAGGGGAAGAGCGGAAAAAGAGUAAGAGGCGGGCAGAGGAGAAGAAUGGAGGGAGAAAGAGGGGAAGAAGAGAAGAGAAGGAGGGGGGUCGCCGAGGAGAGAGAGAGAGGGGAGAAGGAGCGACGGGAGAGGGGAGGCGGCUACCGGGAAAGGGAGAGAGAAGAUGUAGGCAGAUAAAGGGUGAGGAGAAGAGAGGGAGAAAAUUUUUAGGUUUUGGAUCUUUUGGUGUUAAAAGAGAGAGAUAGGAAAAGUUGAUCCCAACCGUUAGAUUAGAUAGAGAUAUAGGGUUAGGAUUCGAUUAGAAUUUAAAUAUUUAAAUGAACGAAUGAGAUUAGUAGCUGAAGUCUUGAAAUCAGAUGGGAAAAUAUAUGGAAAGGCUAAAAUUGCAAUUAAAAUGGC